Anser cygnoides (Swan goose) is the source of this 1618-nucleotide long non-coding RNA. Lineage: Eukaryota; Metazoa; Chordata; Aves; Anseriformes; Anatidae. The record is from Ensembl.
UGACAGGAUCUCUUCCUCUGCUGACACCCAGAUCCUUGGAGAAAGAAAAAUGAUCCAGUGGAAGAAACAAAAGAAAUAACAUGCUUCAUGAAAGGCACAGUGACUGGUUUGAAAGACCCGUUCUCGCAAGGGGAGCUGGAGGCAGAAGGACGUGAAACAGGAGAGGGAGCCAUUGCAUGCUAUCUGCCGUCCUGCUGCUCAGGCACAGCACCAGGAGAUCCGUGCCCUCUUCACAGUCCAUUUCUUCAACAACUGUGUGUCAUCGGCCGACGGCUCAGGAAACCAUGCAGCUGGGCAGGAACUGCCAGGAAGAGCUCAGCCUCCCUGAACUCUCGAGGGCACAAAAUGAAUCAACCUGCCCAUGUCAGGAGCCAGUUCUCCGAGCUCCUGCUGUGGAGGAGAAGAGAAGCCACGCUCCUGGAGACAUCCCAGCUCCUGCCUGGCACCGAGUGCUGUGCAAGGAGGUUCAAUGCAGCAGCCAUCACCAGAUGGUGCUGCUGCAUACAGCCUUGCAAGGUCACGGUGCGCAGGGAUGUUUUGAUUCUUGGAAGAAAAUACUCAACUGGGGAUGUUUCUCCGCUGCUUGGGUGUCUGGAGAGUAGGCAGGGUAUGUUCUGACUUUAUGUCACUAGCCAAGUCUCUUUGAGAAUGGGUCACUUGGGUUUUGGCUGGGAAUUCAGAACAGGGGUGGGUUCAGGUGCUGUUUGAGAUGAUCUGUUCCAGACUGGUUCAAGUGGAUAAACAAAAUUAAUUAUGUUCACAUCAUAUGAUCGCACAGGAUCGAUUUUUUCCUCCAGUGGAAAACUGGCUGGCAACGGGUACUGCCGCUAAUCAGAAACAUGUAUCGCUACAGUUCACCUGCAUUUUCCGUUAGCUUUACAAUCUUGCUGUUUUUUUAAGGCCCAGGUCCAGGAAUCAUGUUAUCACAGGAGAAUUCAGUGUGCCACUGUGUAGAAAAAGUGAUGUCCCCUUUCCUACUGCUUUUAUAUGUGAAAAUUCAGUGCAGCAAAGAUCUUCAGCUUAUGCGAUUACGCAGAGGAAACAGCAUUGCCUGAACCUUUAACUACCAGAUUUUAGUCUUCUCCCUGCUUGUGUCAGUAAAUACGUGAUUACUUCUCACAAGUUGCUUGGGAAGGCUUUCAUCUCUGCUUCCUCAGAAAAAGGUCAAGGGAAAAGGCUAAGCCAAAAAUUGUUCUUUUUAAAUCAGCAUUCUUGAUUGCUAUUGCACUGAGCUCUCUGAAGGCCUCUAGGCAGAGUAAAAUCUACGUUUGAUGAUUUGAAGUUUACAGAGUAGGCACUCCAGACUUCAUAAGGCCUUCAGCCUCAGCCUGUGGACAUUCAUGGUGGGUGCUUUAAAGUUCACUGUCUUUAGGUCUCAUCUCCAGUUGUUAUGGAGUCAUGGUGAAGUUUUGUAAGAACUGUGGUUUGACCAUCCUGGUCAGUACAGGAUCUGUCCAGACUUCAAGGGACAGCUCAUGGCUAGGAAAGACAGAGAUGAUGAAAGUGCAAAAUGACAAAUGAUGAUACACUUCAGAAAGUAAAUGAUUUUUUUUUUUUAUGGUAUCAUGAAAGAAGAAUAGUUGUGAAGCAAAAACUAGAGAGAUAGCAGAUGCACAAC